AGAAAAGUAAGCUAAAAUAAGCUAAUGGGUUCAUACCCCAUAAAUAGAGUAAACCUCUCUUCUCUA
Molecule: transfer RNA, 66 nt
Filed under: Subulitermes sp. 1-1 SH-2021a
Lineage: Eukaryota; Metazoa; Arthropoda; Insecta; Blattodea; Termitidae
Description: tRNA-Met
Source: RNAcentral